AAAAACCGAAGAUCUUUUCAAGCGAAGGAGAACAUCAUCAACAUUUUUGGUCUCCAUAAAAAAUAACAGGGCCAGCCACCGUCGCCCGCAUAACAUCUUCAGAGGCCUCCAUAAUGGGUGUGUCUAACAAGCAAGAGUCAUCAUAAAGUCCGGUAUGCUCUCCUGUUUCUCUAUAGCUGGAAUUAGAGCGGUGGUGAAGGUGUGGUGCACAGGGGGAGUGAUGCUGGAGGAAUCAUUUCUGGUCUGUGGUUCUAUUGGAGUAGAUUCCUGUGGAGAGGAGUGUGUAACAGGAAUGGGCGGUAGAAGAAGUGGAAGAGAAUGAACUGCCAUGGGAGGAGUUUCAGGAGUUUUGUCAGCAUCUGUGGUCAUUUUUUCCUCAAAAGGAAUGAAGGGGCAAGAAUCAGUGUAAUGACCCAGUCGUCCACAAGAAUAACAAUAGUGAGAUAAAUCCAACUCAACUCGAGCACGGCAAGCUUUCAGUGCGGAACCAGUGGCGAACUCGAUUUAACUUGCAAAACAGAGCCAACCGUACUAAUGUACGUGCGGAUCAUAUCGUC
Long non-coding RNA from Eucalyptus grandis, 557 nucleotides. RefSeq lists it as uncharacterized. Lineage: Eukaryota; Viridiplantae; Streptophyta; Magnoliopsida; Myrtales; Myrtaceae. The record is from RefSeq and is a predicted model, not a curated record. The transcript has 5 exons.